RNAcentral lists this ribosomal RNA (458 nucleotides) under Liposcelis bostrychophila. RNAcentral describes it as "partial 16S ribosomal RNA". The record is from RNAcentral. Lineage: Eukaryota; Metazoa; Arthropoda; Insecta; Psocodea; Liposcelididae.
UUCUUCUUUUUUGGAAGUAAGUCCUGCCCUAUGAACAUUUAAAUGGCCGCUGUAAAAAGGUGCUAAGGUAGCAUAAUCAAUUGUCUCUUAAUUGGGGUCUAGAAUAAAGGGAUUAAUAACUCAUGAGCUCUAAAUUAUAUUGCGGAAAAAUUUAAAAUUUAAAUAAAAAUGUUUAAAUUAGAAAAUUGGACGAGAAGACCCUAAGAUUUUUAAACUUAGACAACUGAAUUAGUUGAAGUUUUUAAUUGGGGAAAUUAAGUAAAUAAACUUUCUUCUUUUUAACACUUAAAGUGAAAAUAAGAAGUAUGAAAAAAAUAUUAAUCAUAAUUACCUUAGGGAUAACAGCGCAAUAAUGAAUAAGGGUACCUUUCUUUAAUUCAUGGUUGCGACCUCGAUGUUGAAUUAGGAGUAUUUAUGCAGAAGAGUGCAUAAAAAUUAGUCUGUUCGACUUUAACCCC